Molecule: transfer RNA, 71 nt
Filed under: Phrynosoma platyrhinos (Desert horned lizard)
Lineage: Eukaryota; Metazoa; Chordata; Lepidosauria; Squamata; Phrynosomatidae
Description: tRNA-OTHER
Source: RNAcentral
GCCAGUGUGGCAUAGUGGUUUGAGCGCUGGACUAUGAUUCUGGAGACCAGAGUUCAAAUCCUGGCUUGGCU